GAACGAGAAAGUGGAGCAAUCCAUGAGUAAAGUGGCGACCGGGUGAGUAACACGUGACUAACCUACCCUUGAGUGGGGGAUAACCUCGGGAAACCGGGGCUAAUACCGCAUAACAUCGCAAGAUCAAAGGAGCAAUCCGCUGAAGGAGGGGGUCGCGGCUGAUUAGUUAGUUGGUGAGGUAACGGCUCACCAAGACGAAGAUCAGUAGCCGGCCUGAGAGGGCGCACGGCCACACUGGAACUGAAACACGGUCCAGACUCCUACGGGAGGCAGCAGUGGGGAAUUUUGCGCAAUGGGGGAAACCCUGACGCAGCAACGCCGCGUGGAGGAUGAAGUCCCNUUGGGAUGUAAACUCCUUUCGAUCGGGACGAUUAUGACGGUACCGGAAGAAGAAGCACCGGCUAACUCUGUG
RNAcentral lists this ribosomal RNA (412 nucleotides) under uncultured bacterium. RNAcentral's name for it is "bacterial SSU rRNA". It matches the Rfam family "Bacterial small subunit ribosomal RNA", at positions 64 to 507 of the family's 1533-position model. The record is from RNAcentral.